GCUGGCGGCGUGCUAAUACAUGCAGUCGAGCGGACAGAUGGGAGCUUGCUCCCUGAUGUUAGCGGCGGACGGGUGAGUAACACGUGGGUAACCUGCCUGUAAGACUGGGAUAACUCCGGGAAACCGGGGCUAAUACCGGAUGCUUGUUUGAACCGCAUGGUUCAAACAUAAAAGGUGGCUUCGGCUACCACUUACAGAUGGACCCGCGGCGCAUUAGCUAGUUGGUGAGGUAAUGGCUCACCAAGGCAACGAUGCGUAGCCGACCUGAGAGGGUGAUCGGCCACACUGGGACUGAGACACGGCCCAGACUCCUACGGGAGGCAGCAGUAGGGAAUCUUCCGCAAUGGACGAAAGUCUGACGGAGCAACGCCGCGUGAGUGAUGAAGGUUUUCGGAUCGUAAAGCUCUGUUGUUAGGGAAGAACAAGUGCCGUUCAAAUAGGGCGGCACCUUGACGGUACCUAACCAGAAAGCCACGGCUAACUACGUGCCAGCAGCCGCGGUAAUACGUAGGUGGCAAGCGUUGUCCGGAAUUAUUGGGCGUAAAGGGCUCGCAGAGNCGGUUUUCUUAACGUCUGAUGUGAAAGCCCCCGGCUCAACCGGGGAA
Molecule: ribosomal RNA, 605 nt
Filed under: Pseudoalteromonas sp. UST050418-230
Lineage: Bacteria; Pseudomonadati; Pseudomonadota; Gammaproteobacteria; Alteromonadales; Pseudoalteromonadaceae
Description: bacterial SSU rRNA
Rfam family: Bacterial small subunit ribosomal RNA
Source: RNAcentral